GGUCUUGUAGUGUAGUGGUUAUCACUCGGGAUUUUGAUUACACUUACUUGGUGCAACCAAUUUGUGAAUUUCCCGAAACCCAGGUUCGAACCCUGGCAAGACCU
Russula aff. rugulosa BPL654 is the source of this 104-nucleotide non-coding RNA. NCBI's taxonomy places the organism in Eukaryota, Fungi, Basidiomycota, Agaricomycetes, Russulales, Russulaceae. The record is from the annotation of a GenBank genome assembly.